UUUUACCCACAAUGGGAGGAUGAAUCAUAAAUCGUACAAAAGUAAACCAAGCGCAUGAGAAUCAAUCAAGACAUAAAAAUAAACCAUUCAAGCAACCAUUCACAAUAACAAUUUAUGAAUUUGAAAAUGCAAUGAAGAGUAAAGUCAAGGACCUAAUCUCUAAAUAAUCCUAAUUGAAGAUUAAAAGAUGAAACAACUAAGUAUUCAAUUAAAUCCUAAUUAACUCUAACAUGUAUUGUUAUUUUAAAGAGUAAAAAUCAAUUAGAAUGAAUUAAAAUGUAUUAAAGUGAAAAUUAGAGAUAAAAUGAUCUAAAUUCUAUUAUCAUGAACUUUUUAAGCAUUUCAUAUCAAAAUAAAAUGUAGAAACAAGUGUUAAAAAAAUGUAAAAAAAGAAAAGAAAUUGAAGCCAUAAAAAAUAAUAAAAAACAACUGAAAAUAAGAAAAAAAAUAGUGGGGAGGUGCAAUGAUCAGAAGGGGGUUUGAACAGAAAGAAAGGUGUUGGGAUGAACUUGGAAACCCGAGUUUGUUGUGGGCCUUGCUUGGCUUCAGACCAGAGGUGUGCAAUAACAAUGUAUGGGUGCAGCAAGUGAGUUUCAUGGGCUUAGGUAUAACCAGGCCCAAUGUGCAAAGGAAAAGGGGAA
Molecule: long non-coding RNA, 641 nt
Filed under: Lathyrus oleraceus (garden pea)
Lineage: Eukaryota; Viridiplantae; Streptophyta; Magnoliopsida; Fabales; Fabaceae
Description: Pisum sativum (pea) long non-coding RNA (PSAT_LNC033410)
Source: RNAcentral